UGGUGGAGUGAUUUGUCUGGUUAAUUCCGUUAACGAACGAGACCUCGACCUACUAAAUAGUGGGGCUUAGGCUUGCCUAGGUGCUUACUUCUUAGAGGGACUAUCGGUUCUUUAGCCGAAGGAAGUUCGAGGCAAUAACA
Molecule: ribosomal RNA, 140 nt
Filed under: uncultured eukaryote
Lineage: Eukaryota
Description: partial 18S ribosomal RNA
Rfam family: Eukaryotic small subunit ribosomal RNA
Source: RNAcentral